AUUGAAUCCGAGAAAUCUUCAAACCACUUGCUCAAGUGUUUUAAACUACUCGAACUUACACAAAACUGCAAUCAAACCAUUCAAGUAUUGUUGAUUCAAGUGUUUUAACUAUUCAAACUUAUACAAAAUUGCGAUCAAACCAUUCAAAUAACUAAAUCGUAGACAAUGUCAAUUCUCGAUUUAACUGAAUGAACGGUUUGAUUCAGUUUUUAAAACAUUGUUCGAAAGUUCUUGAUGGCUAUGUGCUUGAGUGAUCCAAUACAUCAACCAUAGAGUUUUAGCCUAUGGAAAAAACAUAGCUCCACUUGAACUCCCACUAGUUUAGCAACUUCAAAAUAUCAUAUUGAUAGUUGAAAAUUCAAAAGUAAAAAAAGUAGAAAAUUCAAAAUUCCUAAAUUUCUAAAACACAACCAGUUUGGACAUGUCCCUUAAACCCAUCUGGACAAUCCAAUUUUCUCCAAUUAUUAUUAUUUACAUCAAAAACAUAACCCAUAUGCACUUCACCAUAGCCACUUGAUCCAAUCACAACCACAAAACCAUCGAACGCUCCAACAUACGCCACGUUGCAUAUCUCAUCUGGAACCCUACCCAUCUUCUGCCACGUGUGAGCCCUCAUCAUAACCAAUUCACCAUUGCAACACAUAUAAACACUCUCCUCCUCAUCACCACCGUCCACCAAAGUCAUAGGACACGUGGCACAAUCCAAAUACUCUUCCUCCACUUGACCCCACUUCCACGUCACAAAAUCAAACGCCUCCGCACUCCUCUCAAACCUCCCUUGAUUCUCCGUCGUGUAACCACCAACAACUAUAAACCUCCCGCCACGGAACACCGCCUUACACUCGUCUCUCUCCGACGACAUCUCUGGCAACUGAACCCACACAUCCGCCACCACAUCAUACGCCAAAGCGGACCUCAAUGCGUUUUUCUCGUCAUCAUGACCGCCAGCUACAAAAAUUGUUUGGCGGUCAUCUGACGAACAUCCAAAAAACGUACGAGGUCCACCUGGCAUUUGGGUCCCACAACGCCACUUGGCCGACAAAAAAUUAUAAACAAACACAGAAUUCGAUGCUUUCCAUGUUUCCGGAUCCAAACCUCCCAACACAACAAGAUCAUAACCAACACAUGCUACCUGACACAUAACCGGUAAACCGGAAUUAUAACCGGGUGGUGCCGGUAACUCACUCCAAAAACCCGUUUCCGGUUCAAACACACUCAACCGGUAAACCGGGUUUACAAGUCUUUUUGUUGAACCGGUUUCAGUUUUAUUCGGUUCAAUCCGUGCUUGAACCAUCACAAGAACUUUUUGACUGUUACCGGUUCUCCGCCGUUGACGAUGGUACUCCACCGUAUGUAUCUCCGUCUUCCACCCUUUACAAACUGAAGCCACCGUUGGAAACUGUUGGUAUGAAACCCGAAUUAAACAGUCUCGGGCCACAUCUUCGGGUAAACCAGAAAUAAGCUCCAUAUUCAUAAUAUAAAAAACUUAAGAAUUGAAAUUUGAGAGUGAAAAUGAAGAUUAAAAGAGGAUUUAGCAACAACCCAUUAACUAGAAUUGAAGAAAGAAGAGAUUUUGAGGUGAAAGAUUGAAACUUGAAUAAAGGAGAUGAAAGGGGUAUUUAUGGUAUUUGAGUAUGUUUUUGAUAUUUUUGAGGUAAAAAAAGUUCUGUGUUAUGUUGUGUUAUGGAGAUGGAGGGAGAGGGGUUUGAGGAAUGAGAUUUAUAGAGAGGAGAAGAUAAGAAAAAAGAGGGGUGCACAUGGGUUAGGGUGUGAUUAGUGAUUACAAUGUGGGGCAAGUUGUGAGUGUAAAAGUGAUAAGUAUAAUAAGUGCUUCUAGAAGGGUUUUUGAUUGAGAAGCUGGACAUGUUGAAAAGGACAAAUAAGCUUUAAUAAUUAUUGAAAGGCAGCAACGACUUUUACUAAUUUGCUCUGUUUGCUUAACAAUUGAGUGAUUGAUGAUAGCAAUUUUUAUAAACGAGUCUUUCG
RNAcentral lists this long non-coding RNA (1986 nucleotides) under Medicago truncatula (barrel medic). Its description in RNAcentral is "lncRNA gene20532". The record is from RNAcentral. Lineage: Eukaryota; Viridiplantae; Streptophyta; Magnoliopsida; Fabales; Fabaceae.